Non-coding RNA from Pimephales promelas (fathead minnow), 1313 nucleotides. NCBI's taxonomy places the organism in Eukaryota, Metazoa, Chordata, Actinopteri, Cypriniformes, Leuciscidae. The record is from RefSeq and is a predicted model, not a curated record.
GGAUGUUGUGGAUGUUGUGGAUGUUGUGUGUGUUGUGGAUGUUGUGGAUGUUGUGUGUGUUGUGGGGGCGGCACACUUAAAGCUGCAAAGGUUAGGAAGUAGAGAGAUUAGUUUGCUCUUAUUUCUUUUUUUGCAGCGAUUGAGUUAUGUGUGCAUGUCACGACAGAUUGAGCCCUUCAGAAGGAUAGUAGCAGAAGCAGUUAUGUUAACGUCAUGGAGAGCUGAGUACUUGUUACACACCAUUUAGGAGUGUUUUUGCCGGAUUAUUGCCUGACUAAUUGUUGCCUGAGUGCCAGUCAGAAAUAUCGGAUGUUUGAGAUUUCUUUUUCCCAACGAUGGCUGUGUGGUUACCCUCACUGUAUGGAUGGCGGUGGUGAGGUGGCUGGGAUCGUGUGGUGUUGGUCACUUUAUUUGUAUUUUGCCUUUAGGGAUGCAGUGUGAUUGCUGUGGUGAGAGCACUUUUCAGGACUAGUGCCUUCACGAUAUAGCCUUCAAGAAAGAAGACAGCGGCUUUGACGAGGUAAGCCAAAAUACAACCAUUUGACUUUCAUAACCCUUGGGAGUGUUGGAAGACAAUGAGUGUCGUGAGAUGUUAUAUGACGUGUUUGGUGUAGUUGCUUAAUGGAUUUCACUGCGCUUUGACUGUCGUUGGAGUAGUGCAUGCUGGGAUGUGCUGUUUGGAUGUUGCUAUUUGAGGCGAUGGUGUCGGUCUCUGGGGUUGAAGUGUCAGUUGUGAUCAUUUGAGAGAUGCUUCAUUGUUCUCCGUUUCUUCAUUGCGCCGAGGCACCGACCCGUCCCUACAUUAUUCCAUUGGCUUUGGAAACGGGCCCUCGAGUGAUAUUGAACAGGAACAUGCAAUAUUAUUUAAAUACUAAUACAUUUGAGGCCCCUUUCCACUGUUACAGCCAAGAUUGUGUUUAUUGGUGAUUUUUCUAGAAACAUGAUUUCCAGAGUAUUAUUUUAUAGACUGAUUAUGUAGGUUUUCUAUAUUCUGAAAAGACGAAUUUUAGAACCAAAUUUCUCAAAAUGAUAACCAUUUUUGUAUUCAGGCAGUCAUCAAAAGCUUUGUUUUAGUGCUACAUGUCCCAUUGCAAUACAUAAGUUGUUUGUUGAUUAUUUUCAUGUUCAAGUUAAUUUGCAAUCUGCAUUUCUGUGGCUCUGUUGCACUAGCAACGCCAAGCUCACUGGUUUGAUUCCUAGGAAAUGCAUGAACUGAUAAAAUGCAAACCUUGGAUGCUAUGUAAGACGCUUUGGAUAAACUGUAUAAAUGUAAUUUGACACAAGAAGCAGAAAUAUUAAAUAUUAUAAAUGUG